This 331-nucleotide ribosomal RNA is filed under the name uncultured eukaryote. RNAcentral's name for it is "partial 18S ribosomal RNA". It matches the Rfam family "Eukaryotic small subunit ribosomal RNA", at positions 1470 to 1796 of the family's 1831-position model. The record is from RNAcentral.
CCCUUAGAUGUUCUGGGCCGCACGCGCGCUACACUGACGAAUUCAACGAGUUUAUAACCUUUGCUGGGAGGCAUGGGUAAUCUUGUGAACGUUCGUCGUGAUGGGGAUAGAUUAUUGCAAUUGUUAAUCUUCAACGAGGAAUUCCUAGUAAACGCAAGUCAUCAGCUUGCAUUGAUUACGUCCCUGCCCUUUGUACACACCGCCCGUCGCACCUACCGAUUGAAUGGUCCGGUGAAUUCUUCGGACUGCGGCUUUGACUCGAUUUCGGUCGAGGCGUUGCUGCGGGAAGUUGAUUAAACCUUACCAUUUAGAGGAAGGUGAAGUCGUANCA